This 557-nucleotide ribosomal RNA is filed under the name Candidatus Phytoplasma pyri. Its description in RNAcentral is "bacterial SSU rRNA". It matches the Rfam family "Bacterial small subunit ribosomal RNA", at positions 521 to 1089 of the family's 1533-position model. The record is from RNAcentral. Lineage: Bacteria; Bacillati; Mycoplasmatota; Mollicutes; Acholeplasmatales; Acholeplasmataceae.
UAAUACAUGGGGGGCAAGCGUUAUCCGGAUUUAUUGGGCGUAAAGGGUGCGUAGGCGGUUUAAUAAGUCUAUGGUCUAAGUUCAACGCUUAACGUUGUGAUGCUAUAGAAACUGUUUGACUAGAGUUGGAUAGAGGCAAGUGGAAUUCCAUGUGUAGCGGUAAAAUGCGUAAAGAUAUGGAGGAACACCAGUAGCGAAGGCGGCUUGCUGGGUCUUAACUGACGCUGAGGCACGAAAGCGUGGGGAGCAAACAGGAUUAGAUACCCUGGUAGUCCACGCCGUAAACGAUGAGUACUAAGUGUUGGGUUAAACCAGUGCUGAAGUUAACGCAUUAAGUACUCCGCCUGAGUAGUACGUACGCAAGUAUGAAACUUAAAGGAAUUGACGGGACUCCGCACAAGCGGUGGAUCAUGUUGUUUAAUUCGAAGAUACACGAAAAACCUUACCAGGUCUUGACAUACUCUGCAAAGCUAUAGAAAUAUAGUGGAGGUUAUCAGGGAUACAGGUGGUGCAUGGUUGUCGUCAGCUCGUGUCGUGAGAUGUUGGGUUAAGUCCCG